This 234-nucleotide long non-coding RNA is filed under the name Ananas comosus (pineapple). RNAcentral's name for it is "long non-coding RNA (ACOM_LNC014987)". Lineage: Eukaryota; Viridiplantae; Streptophyta; Magnoliopsida; Poales; Bromeliaceae. The record is from RNAcentral.
CGACUCAACUACGUCGAAAAUUCACGGGACAACACCACAAAUCUGGAGUAUAAUUUAGUAGGUCGAAACGAUACACUCCAACUAGCCAACAACGUCAACCAGCUCACCACAAGCGAAAACGUAUCGUUGUCCUAAAACCUGAAUAAAAAACGAUCACCUCAGAGACCACAGUCUCCCACCAGUUAACACACAAACUGCCAAAGUCAAACCUCCAACAACGGAAAGUCAUCUACG